Molecule: ribosomal RNA, 469 nt
Filed under: uncultured bacterium
Lineage: Bacteria
Description: bacterial SSU rRNA
Rfam family: Bacterial small subunit ribosomal RNA
Source: RNAcentral
GAGUUUGAUCCUGGCUCAGAUUGAACGCUGGCGGCAGGCCUAACACAUGCAAGUCGAACGGUAACAGGAAGAAGCUUGCUUCUUUGCUGACGAGUGGCGGACGGGUGAGUAAUGUCUGGGAAACUGCCUGAUGGAGGGGGAUAACUACUGGAAACGGUAGCUAAUACCGCAUAACGUCGCAAGACCAAAGAGGGGGACCUUCGGGCCUCUUGCCAUCGGAUGUGCCCAGAUGGGAUUAGCUAGUAGGUGGGGUAACGGCUCACCUAGGCGACGAUCCCUAGCUGGUCUGAGAGGAUGACCAGCCACACUGGAACUGAGACACGGUCCAGACUCCUACGGGAGGCAGCAGUGGGGAAUAUUGCACAAUGGGCGCAAGCCUGAUGCAGCCAUGCCGCGUGUAUGAAGAAGGCCUUCGGGUUGUAAAGUACUUUCAGCGGGGAGGAAGGGAGUAAAGUUAAUACCUUUGCUC